GAACCAGGAAGAAAAGGAAACCAAGUGAAAGAGGGAACUGCAGCACAAGCAGCACAAACCAGCACAACAUGCAAACCAGUAAAGAUCUUUCUACACAAUUGAAAGAGAAGAAGGAAUCACAGGAGAACGCCGUGUGCACAGGUCGGCCCUUCCCGAGAUCUGAGUUUGGUGACUGGGAUCUCUCCGGAUCUAGAAAUAAGCCACCUGGUUGUGGCCUACCAGACUGUUGUGUGAGUCUCAGGUCCUGUAACAAGAAGAGAAUACGCACACGGGAGCGCUUGGAUGUGCACAAAGAGUUUCACAACCUUGACUGCUCCUGU
Molecule: long non-coding RNA, 320 nt
Organism: Rattus norvegicus (Norway rat)
Lineage: Eukaryota; Metazoa; Chordata; Mammalia; Rodentia; Muridae
Source: Ensembl